RNAcentral lists this transfer RNA (70 nucleotides) under Dipodomys ordii (Ord's kangaroo rat). It matches the Rfam family "tRNA". From Rfam's summary of the family: Transfer RNA (tRNA) molecules are approximately 80 nucleotides in length. Their secondary structure includes four short double-helical elements and three loops (D, anti-codon, and T loops). Lineage: Eukaryota; Metazoa; Chordata; Mammalia; Rodentia; Heteromyidae. The record is from Rfam by way of RNAcentral.
GGGAAUGUGGCUCAGUGGCAGAGUGCUUGCCUAGCAAACAUGAAGCCCUGGGUUCAAUUCCUCAGUACCA